AUGAACGCUGACAGAAUGCUUAACACAUGCAAGUCUUUGGCGAAGCUGUGCUUGCACAGCCUAGCCAAGGCGGACGGGUGAGUAACGCGUAAGGAACUUGCCCUGCAGUCAGGGAUAACAGACGGAAACGACUGAUAAGACCUGGUAAAGUCAGGCGGACUCAUGUCCAGCCUGAUGAAAAGAGAUGCUGCAGGAGAGCCUUGCGUCCUAUUAGCUUGUUGGUGGGGUAACGGCCCACCAAGGCGAUGAUAGGUAGCCGGCCUGAGAGGGUGGACGGCCACAAGGGGACUGAGAUACGGCCCUUACUCCUACGGGAGGCAGCAGUGGGGAAUAUUGGACAAUGGGGGCAACCCUGAUCCAGCAAUUCUGUGUGCACGAUGAAGGUUUUCGGAUUGUAAAGUGCUUUCAGCAGGGAAGAAAAAAAUGACGGUACCUGCAGAAGAAGCGAUGGCUAAAUACGUG
RNAcentral lists this ribosomal RNA (462 nucleotides) under uncultured bacterium. RNAcentral's name for it is "partial 16S ribosomal RNA". It matches the Rfam family "Bacterial small subunit ribosomal RNA", at positions 29 to 507 of the family's 1533-position model. The record is from RNAcentral.